UGGGGAAUUUUGCACAAUGGGGGAAACCCUGAUGCAGCGACGCCGCGUGAUUUAGAAGGCCUUCGGGUUGUAAAAAUCUUUUCUAUGGGAAGAAAAUGACAGUACCAUAGGAAUAAGGACUGGCUAAUUACGUGCCAGCAGCCGCGGUAAUACGUAAGGUCCGAGCGUUGUCCGGAAUCAUUGGGCGUAAAGGGUACGCAGGCGGGUAAGCAAGUUAGAAGUGAAAUCCUGUAGCUCAACUACAGUAAGCUUUUAAAACUGCUCAUCUGGAGAUAUGGAAGGGAAGGUGGAAUUCCUAGUGUAGCGGUGAAAUGCGCAGAUAUUAGGAGGAAUACCGGUGGCGAAGGCGACUUUCUGGCCAUAAUCUGACGCUGAGGCUCGAAAGCGUGGGGAGCGAACAGG
This 402-nucleotide ribosomal RNA is filed under the name Verrucomicrobiota bacterium. RNAcentral describes it as "Verrucomicrobia bacterium partial 16S ribosomal RNA". It matches the Rfam family "Bacterial small subunit ribosomal RNA", at positions 355 to 776 of the family's 1533-position model. The record is from RNAcentral. Lineage: Bacteria; Pseudomonadati; Verrucomicrobiota.